This is a long non-coding RNA of Etheostoma cragini (Arkansas darter), 101 nucleotides long. RefSeq lists it as uncharacterized. Lineage: Eukaryota; Metazoa; Chordata; Actinopteri; Perciformes; Percidae. The transcript has 3 exons. The record is from RefSeq and is a predicted model, not a curated record.
CUCGGAAUACACAGAGAGGGCAAAACAACAAAAUGAAUUGAUCACAUGCUCACCUCUCCCUCCAACUUCUACUCUCUCUACACGUCACCGAGUCCUGAGAA